Molecule: ribosomal RNA, 627 nt
Filed under: uncultured bacterium
Lineage: Bacteria
Description: bacterial SSU rRNA
Rfam family: Bacterial small subunit ribosomal RNA
Source: RNAcentral
AAGUCGAACGAAACUUUUUUUAUCACCGAGUGCUUGCACUCACCGAUAAAGAGUUGAGUGGCGAACGGGUGAGUAACACGUGGGCAACCUGCCCAAAAGAGGGGGAUAACACUUGGAAACAGGUGCUAAUACCGCAUAACCAUAGUUACCGCAUGGUAACUAUGUAAAAGGUGGCUAUGCUACCGCUUUUGGAUGGGCCCGCGGUGCAUUAGCUAGUUGGUGGGGUAAAGGCUUACCAAGGCAAUGAUGCGUAGCCGAACUGAGAGGUUGAUCGGCCACAUUGGGACUGAGACACGGCCCAAACUCCUACGGGAGGCAGCAGUAGGGAAUCUUCCACAAUGGGCGAAAGCCUGAUGGAGCAACGCCGCGUGGGUGAAGAAGGUCUUCGGAUCGUAAAACCCUGUUGUUAGAGAAGAAAGUGCGUGAGAGUAACUGUUCACGUUUCGACGGUAUCUAACCAGAAAGCCACGGCUAACUACGUGCCAGCAGCCGCGGUAAUACGUAGGUGGCAAGCGUUAUCCGGAUUUAUUGGGCGUAAAGGGAACGCAGGCGGUCUUUUAAGUCUGAUGUGAAAGCCUUCGGCUUAACCGGAGUAGUGCAUUGGCCACUGGGAGACUUGAGUGCAGA